RNAcentral lists this ribosomal RNA (459 nucleotides) under uncultured Cytophagaceae bacterium. RNAcentral describes it as "bacterial SSU rRNA". It matches the Rfam family "Bacterial small subunit ribosomal RNA", at positions 338 to 795 of the family's 1533-position model. Lineage: Bacteria; Pseudomonadati; Bacteroidota; Cytophagia; Cytophagales; Cytophagaceae. The record is from RNAcentral.
CCUACGGGGGGCUGCAGUAGGGAAUAUUGGACAAUGGGUGCAAGCCUGAUCCAGCCAUGCCGCGUGCAGGAAGAAGGCUUUCUGAGUUGUAAACUGCUUUUGCCAGGGGAUAAAAUACGCUUGCGAGCGGAAUUGAAGGUACCUGGUGAAUAAGCCACGGCUAACUACGUGCCAGCAGCCGCGGUAAUACGUAGGUGGCAAGCGUUGUCCGGAUUUAUUGGGUUUAAAGGGUGCGUAGGCGGCAUUUUAAGUCAGUGGUGAAAUACGGCAGCUCAACUGUCGAGGUGCCAUUGAUACUGGGAUGCUUGAGUACUGAUGAGGUAGGCGGAAUGGACGGUGUAGCGGUGAAAUGCUUAGAUAUCGUCCAGAACACCGAUAGCGAAGGCAGCUUACUAAGGAGUAACUGACGCUGAGGCACGAAAGUGUGGGGAUCAAACAGGAUUAGAUACCCUGGUAGUC